GACGGAGGAUGCAAGCGUUAUCCGGAAUGAUUGGGCGUAAAGCGUUCGCAGGUGGCUAUUCAAGUCUGCUGUCAAAGACCGGGGCUUAACCCCAGAGAGGCAGUGGAAACUGAAUGGCUGGAGUGCAGAUCGGGUAGGGGGAAUUCCCAGUGUAGCGGUGAAAUGCGUAGAGAUUGGGAAGAACACCGGUGGCGAAAGCGCUCUGCUGGACUGCAACUGACGCUGAGGUACGAAAGCUAGGGGAGCGAAUGGG
RNAcentral lists this ribosomal RNA (253 nucleotides) under uncultured bacterium. Its description in RNAcentral is "partial 16S ribosomal RNA". It matches the Rfam family "Bacterial small subunit ribosomal RNA", at positions 524 to 776 of the family's 1533-position model. The record is from RNAcentral.